Molecule: ribosomal RNA, 468 nt
Filed under: uncultured bacterium
Lineage: Bacteria
Description: partial 16S ribosomal RNA
Rfam family: Bacterial small subunit ribosomal RNA
Source: RNAcentral
GACGAACGCUGGCGGCGUGCUUAACACAUGCAAGUCGAACGGAAAGGCCCUGCUUUUGUGGGGUGCUCGAGUGGCGAACGGGUGAGUAACACGUGAGUAACCUGCCCUUGACUUUGGGAUAACUUCAGGAAACUGGGGCUAAUACCGGAUAGGAGCUCCUGCUGCAUGGUGGGGGUUGGAAAGUUUCGGCGGUUGGGGAUGGACUCGCGGCUUAUCAGCUUGUUGGUGGGGUAGUGGCUUACCAAGGCUUUGACGGGUAGCCGGCCUGAGAGGGUGACCGGCCCCAUUGGGACUGGGGAACGGCCCCGACUCCUACGGGGGGGAGCAGGGGGGGAUUAUUGACAAUGGGCGGAAGCCCUGAGCAACAACGCCGGCGGCGGGAUGACGGCCUUCGGGUUGUAAACCGCUUUCGCCUGUGACGAAGCGUGAGUGACGGUAAUGGGUAAAGAAGCACCGGCUAACUACGUG